UAAUUAUUUCUUAUUAGGGGUGUUUGUUAGGUAUUAAAUUAAAAAUAAUAAUUUUAAUUUUAUUAAUUUAAUGAAAAAAUUAGUUUUAAUAAUAGUUUAUUAGUAUUGUAAAAGAACGAAGGGUAUAUUUUAAAAGAAAAAUUAUUAUUUUGUACCUUGUGUAUCAGGGUUUAUUAAAUAAAUUUUAAAUAUUUAAAUUUCUCGAAUUUAAAAGAGCUAUAAAUUUAUUUUUUUUAUUGUAGAAUAAAUAUUAUAAAUAAUUUUAUAGAUGUGAAAUGCUAUUCAUUUUUAAAUAUAUCUAGUUUUUUAAGAAAAAAAUUUAAUUUUAUUUUUAUUUAAUUAUUUAAUUUAAUUUUUAAUUUAGAUAGUAGUAAAAUUUAAUAAUUUAGGGGAUGAGCUUUAGAUUAUAUAUUAUAUAAUUGAGAUAGUUUUUAUUUUAUUAAAUAGGAUUAAAAGUUUUUAUUUUUUAUAGUGUUUUAUAACUAAUUUUUUGAUUAUUUUUAAUUUUUAUUAAAUUUAUUUGUUUUAUUAAAAUGAAGAUUUUAAUUAAUUAAUAUUUGGAAAAAAUGAUAAAAUUAGUAUAAUACAUAUAUAUAUAAAUAUAAUUAAAAAUUAUAGUUUAAGUAAAGGAACUCGGCAAAAUAAUUUUCACCUGUUUAUUAAAAACAUGUCUUUUUGAAUAUAUUUUAAAGUCUAACCUGCCCUAUGAUAUUUUAAAUGGCUGCGGUAAUUUGACCGUACAAAGGUAGCAUAAUCAUUAGUUUUUUAAUUGAAAGCUUGAAUGAAGGGUUGAAUGAAAAAUUAGCUGUCUCUGUUUAAAAUAUUAGAAUUUUAUUUUUAAGUUAAAAAGCUUAGAUGUUUAUAGAAGACGAGAAGACCCUAUAGAAUUUUAUAUAAUUGUGUAUUAUUUAUUUUAAGUAGUUAAUUAUUUAAUAUAUAACUAUAUUUAAUUGGGGUGAUUAAAAAAUUUAUUAAACUUUUUUUUUAUUUAAACAUUAAUUUAUGAAUGAUUGAUCCUUGUUAAAAGAUUAUAAGAUUAAAUUACCUUAGGGAUAACAGCGUUAUUUUUUUUUAGAGUUCUAAUCGAAAAAAAAGAUUGCGACCUCGAUGUUGGAUUAAAAUUUAAAUUUGGUGAAGAAGCUAGGUUGUUGAGUCUGUUCGACUUUUAAAAUUUUACAUGAUCUGAGUUUAAACCGGUGUGAGCCAGGUUGGUUUCUAUCUCUAUAAAGUUUUAGUAUUUUAGUACGAAAGGACCAAAUACUAGUUUCAUAAAUAAAAAUUGAAUUUUAUUAA
RNAcentral lists this ribosomal RNA (1293 nucleotides) under Hylurgus ligniperda. Its description in RNAcentral is "16S ribosomal RNA". The stretch from base 1052 to 1210 matches the Rfam family "Archaeal large subunit ribosomal RNA", at positions 2542 to 2701 of the family's 2987-position model. Lineage: Eukaryota; Metazoa; Arthropoda; Insecta; Coleoptera; Curculionidae. The record is from RNAcentral.